GCCUUCCAAGGGUAAAUUGACCCGUUCUGCUUCGGGACCUACAAAAAUACCAUGCAGGGAAACUUACGGAAGUUAUGGGAAAAAUGGUGAUGUAACAGAACAUAAUUAGAAGAUCGUCGUGAUUAUUAGAUAAUGAUUGCCCGCAAAUAUAUUUAAUUAUAUGUUUUAAACUUGAGGAAGAACUGCAUAAUGUAUGCAAACGUGAAUUACGUAAG
Molecule: long non-coding RNA, 215 nt
Organism: Agrilus planipennis (emerald ash borer)
Lineage: Eukaryota; Metazoa; Arthropoda; Insecta; Coleoptera; Buprestidae
Exons: 3
Source: RefSeq, a predicted model, not a curated record